UCCCCAUGGUUUAUAAGAGACAUGUUUGAGAAAUGUCUGGGAAACUGCUUGAUGGAGGGGGAUAACUACUGGAAACGGUAGCUAAUACCGCAUAACGUCGCAUGACCAAAGAGGGGGACCUUCGGGCCUCUUGCCAUCGGAUGUGCCCAGAUGGGAUUAGCUAGUAGGUGGGGUAACGGCUCACCUAGGCGACGAUCCCUAGCUGGUCUGAUAGGAUGACCAGCCACACUGGAACUGAGACAC
Molecule: ribosomal RNA, 243 nt
Filed under: Escherichia coli
Lineage: Bacteria; Pseudomonadati; Pseudomonadota; Gammaproteobacteria; Enterobacterales; Enterobacteriaceae
Description: partial 16S ribosomal RNA
Rfam family: Bacterial small subunit ribosomal RNA
Source: RNAcentral